CAAGGAGUAGUUUAAAAAGAAUGCCAGCUUUGGGUGUUGGUGGUGGAGCAUUAGUUUCUUCCUUGA
Molecule: transfer RNA, 66 nt
Filed under: Hylomys suillus microtinus
Lineage: Eukaryota; Metazoa; Chordata; Mammalia; Eulipotyphla; Erinaceidae
Description: tRNA-Pro
Source: RNAcentral